This 465-nucleotide ribosomal RNA is filed under the name Vreelandella stevensii. RNAcentral's name for it is "partial 16S ribosomal RNA". It matches the Rfam family "Bacterial small subunit ribosomal RNA", at positions 338 to 795 of the family's 1533-position model. Lineage: Bacteria; Pseudomonadati; Pseudomonadota; Gammaproteobacteria; Oceanospirillales; Halomonadaceae. The record is from RNAcentral.
CCUACGGGUGGCAGCAGUGGGGAAUAUUGGACAAUGGGGGGAACCCUGAUCCAGCCAUGCCGCGUGUGUGAAGAAGGCCCUCGGGUUGUAAAGCACUUUCAGUGAGGAAGAACGCCUGGUGGUUAAUACCCAUCAGGAAAGACAUCACUCACAGAAGAAGCACCGGCUAACUCGGUGCCAGCAGCCGCGGUAAUACGGAGGGUGCGAGCGUUAAUCGGAAUUACUGGGCGUAAAGCGCGCGUAGGUGGCUUGAUAAGCCGGUUGUGAAAGCCCCGGGCUCAACCUGGGAACGGCAUCCGGAACUGUCAAGCUAGAGUGCAGGAGAGGAAGGUAGAAUUCCCGGUGUAGCGGUGAAAUGCGUAGAGAUCGGGAGGAAUACCAGUGGCGAAGGCGGCCUUCUGGACUGACACUGACACUGAGGUGCGAAAGUGUGGGUAGCAAACAGGAUUAGAUACCCCAGUAGUC